Molecule: long non-coding RNA, 2260 nt
Organism: Pan troglodytes (chimpanzee)
Lineage: Eukaryota; Metazoa; Chordata; Mammalia; Primates; Hominidae
Exons: 2
Source: RefSeq, a predicted model, not a curated record
AGACAUUCUGCAGAGGGGGAGGGGCAGUGGGCAGCCGGUAGGGGUGGGGGACAUUCUGUGAAGGGCUUCGGCCAUUAGGCAGGAACCUGAGUUUCCCUUCCAACUGGAAGGCAGCAGCAGAGAUGGCGUGUGCCUCUUUAGGCAACUUUUAAAUUGUCCUUCUGACUCACAGCAAAAGCUUCUACCUGAUGUCCCCUUUACUUCCAUUCUUUAUCAACAGACCUACUUUCGUGCCAAUCAACCCAUGCUCCUUCCCACUUUGGCUCUUUCCCAGUCUUGACGAGUUUCAACAGCGGCCUCACUUCGUGAACAAAAUUCAAAACACAUCUUCAGUCUGAGAAACACGGGGGUUCUUAGGAAGGCAAGGGGACUGGGUGUUUGAAAUCAGAAUGGUCUCAGCCGAUCCAGACUAUUAGGUGGCUGUGUGCUUAUCAUUGUUUAGGAAGCAAUCCUUGUACCCCCAGGUACAUGCAGCCCUCUUCUGCUGUGCAACUCUACCUCAAUCUUAGCUGAGAAGAUCAACGGAGAGCAAUUCAAGCAAAAUCAUGGUAAACUUACCAAAACAAAACAAACCGUAAAUGCUUUGGAGAUCUUUCUGAGGACUUGAUCUUUUACCAUGGGGCAAACUUAAAUGAUUUUCAAUCAAUAACUUCAUCUAAGAGGGAUGUUGAAGCAAAAUACCAUACUCAGAUACUGAAGAAGGGCAGAAUUUUUGGUUGCUUCCUCCCUUGUCAAGUCAGUCAACUGAUGCUUUCUCAAGAUUCUCACACAUGGCUUUGAUACAGGAUUUGAAUGAGCCUUUUUCUGAGCCAGUGAUACUAAAAAUAUAUUGUGGAAGUUUCUUGUCUUAAUUCUGCAAUUGCUUCUGUACAUGUUUGAAGUCCUAGACCCCAGGAGGAGAGACAAUCAAAUUAGCAAAAGGUAAUUUGUGAAGACUGGCCAUGGGAGGUGGUGGCUAAAAGUCCUCCGGCCCCUGCUCUGUGAGCAUCCCCACAGAAAGUCCUGGGCCGCACUGACAGCUGAGAAAGAACAUCUCAGGGCUUGGAUCCCCUGUUCAGAGGACACAUGCUCCUCCACCCAGUAGAGGAAUGGCAGCUCCAUGCUGUGUCCUGCAGAGCUCUCAGUCUCUGCACUUGAGGCCCUGGACCUGCAUCAACGUGAAGGCUCUUCAGUGUAUCACGUGGAGACAGACGAUAGGAAUCCUGCAAAUGAGCAGAAAGGAUGUGACGAUUAAAGUUUUUUCUGAAGCUAUUACAAACUUAAGUCAGUGAGUUGCUUCUUUACUAGUUUUUUAUUGCCAACUGGAAUUCUACACUGUGUUGCAGAGUCAAGGGUGGGGAGCGUGAAAUUGUUCCCUUACUAUCUGCUGCUUUAUCGACUGAAAUUGAUCAAGGCUACAACAAAAACAUUUCUAGAAAUCAUUUGAAUGCGGUAGGAAAAACUCUGGGAAUGGAGUCAGAAGAAAGUAUAUUUUGGAGUGUGUUUUCAGGUCUAAAAUUCUUUGCCAGAAAUACUCUUUAAUGGAACCUCCAGACUGAGUAGGAAAACAGGGCAUACUAUUUUUUGAAAGGCAUGAGCAGGAAUGAAAUAAAUGCCAUCCAAAGGGAAUGCAAGACAUGCAAUUCGAGGAUACCUUGCUUUAGGAUAAACCCUCCAAAGGUAAACCUUUCAGCAAGGGUUUUACCUAAGUGCAUGGACUGCAGGAUUUAAACCUCAGACACAGGGAGCUGACCUAUUCACCUUAGAAUCCUCUGGGGCACCCAUUACAGUGUCUGUACCAAGGAGGCAACAAAGAACGGCGGAACAGACUGGAGCAGAAGGACAACCCAGCAGAGCCAAGCCAAAUCACUGACCCUCAGAGGCCUGAUGUGAAUGCUUAUGGCUUCAGUCCAUUGGAUUCUGCAGUAAUCUGCCGAUCUACAGUAUUACCACAGUAAAUAACCGAUAGACCUGAAAACGAAUGCAUGCCUCGUGCCAAAAUUGCAGGAAACCUCACCAGUAGAAACAAUUUUAUAUGAGGGAAUGUACUCUCUCCUUUGCAUUUUUCCUCAAAUCUAUAUUUUUAGCCCCUCACUUGUCUCUACAGAGCCUCAGUUGCUUAAUUUAAUUGCUGACUGAACAUCUCCAGGAAACUGUGUGUACGUGUUUGUAUUCAUCGUAUAUUUAUUUAUUAUCUGUUUACUUCCAUGGGAUAUAGUCUCCGUAAGAGAGUAGUCAUCAUUGUAUUUGUUGAUGCUUAAUAAAUAAUCAUUGAAUGGGC